CGGACGAACGCUGGCGGCACGCCUAACACAUGCAAGUCGAACGGACUUAAACGGAGCUUGCUCUUUUUAAGUUAGUGGCGGACGGGUGAGUAACACGUGAGCAACCUGCCUUUCUGAGGGGGAUAACGUUUGGAAACGAACGCUAAUACCGCAUAACAUAUAUUUAUCGCAUGAUAGAUAUAUCAAAGGAGCAAUCCGCAGAAAGAUGGGCUCGCGUCUGAUUAGCUAGUUGGUGAGGUAAUGGCUCACCAAGGCAACGAUCAGUAGCCGGACUGAGAGGUUGAACGGCCACAUUGGGACUGAGACACGGCCCAGACUCCUACGGGAGGCAGCAGUGGGGAAUAUUGCACAAUGGGGGAAACCCUGAUGCAGCGAUGCCGCGUGGAGGAAGAAGGUUUUCGGAUUGUAAACUCCUGUCUUCAGGGACGAUAAUGACGGUACCUGAGGAGGAAGCACCGGCUAACUACGUG
This 470-nucleotide ribosomal RNA is filed under the name uncultured bacterium. Its description in RNAcentral is "bacterial SSU rRNA". It matches the Rfam family "Bacterial small subunit ribosomal RNA", at positions 27 to 507 of the family's 1533-position model. The record is from RNAcentral.